Molecule: unclassified non-coding RNA, 189 nt
Filed under: rhizosphere metagenome
Description: partial ribosomal RNA internal transcribed spacer region
Source: RNAcentral
GAGUAUCAUGCCCUCACGGGUAGAUCUCCACCCUUGAAUAACAUACCUUUGUUGCUUUGGCAGGACGCACUCGUGCCAGGGGCUUCGGCUCCUGAGUGCCUGCCAGAGGACCACAACUCUUGUUUUUAGUGAUAUCUGAGUAAUAAACUUAAAUAAGUCAAAACUUUCAGCAACGGAUCUCUUGGUUCU